Molecule: long non-coding RNA, 236 nt
Filed under: Phaseolus vulgaris (common bean)
Lineage: Eukaryota; Viridiplantae; Streptophyta; Magnoliopsida; Fabales; Fabaceae
Description: long non-coding RNA (PVUL_LNC001221)
Source: RNAcentral
GAGGAUCAUGAACGGAGGAAAUGGAGCGUGUUCAAAGAACGUAAUAAUAAUAUAUGUACCCAUGGAAAAUGACAGAUUUCCAUUUGAUUCAUGGUGCAGUAGAAACGCUGUUAAUAAGAUACAUAGCAUGGACCAUGGCUCGUGUUUUGUUCUCCCCUCCGACUCCAUUCCCUAAGACCUUUUCCUCCCUCCCUGUCGUGCCUCUGCCUGCAUGCCUCUCGUGCUUUGUCUCUAAA